UACGUAGGGGGCAAGCGUUGUCCGGAUUUAUUGGGCGUAAAGAGCGUGUAGGCGGCCAGGUAGGUCAGCUGUGAAAACUCGAGGCUCAACCUCGAGACGCCGGUUGAAACCAUCUGGCUAGAGUCCGGAAGAGGAGAGUGGAAUUCCUGGUGUAGCGGUGAAAUGCGCAGAUAUCAGGAGGAACACCCGUAGCGAAGGCGGCACUCUGGGCCGAUACUGACACUGAGGAGCGAAAGCGUGGGGAGCGAACAGG
This 253-nucleotide ribosomal RNA is filed under the name uncultured bacterium. RNAcentral's name for it is "partial 16S ribosomal RNA". It matches the Rfam family "Bacterial small subunit ribosomal RNA", at positions 524 to 776 of the family's 1533-position model. The record is from RNAcentral.